RNAcentral lists this ribosomal RNA (443 nucleotides) under uncultured bacterium. RNAcentral describes it as "partial 16S ribosomal RNA". It matches the Rfam family "Bacterial small subunit ribosomal RNA", at positions 338 to 795 of the family's 1533-position model. The record is from RNAcentral.
CCUACGGGCGACAGCAGUGGGGAAUAUUGCACAAUGGGCGAAAGCCUGAUGCAGCAACGCCGCGUGAAGGAAGAAGGGUUUCGGCUGGUAAACUUCUAUCAACAGGGACGAAAGAAAUGACGGUACCUGAAUAAGAAGCCCCGGCUAACUACGUGCUAGCAGCAGCGGUAAUACGUAGGGGGCAAGCGUUAUCCGGAAUUACUGGGUGUAAGGGGUGAGUAGGUGGCAUGGUAAGCCAGAUGUGAAAGCCUUGGGCUUAACGCGAGAAUUGCAUUUGGAACUAUCAAGCUAGAGUACAGGAGAGGAAGGCGGAAUGCCUAGUGUAGCGGUGAAAUGCGUAGAUAUUAGAAAGAACACCGAUGGCGAAGGCAGCUUUCGAGACUGAAACUGACGCUGAGGCACGAAAGCGUGGGGAGCGAACAGGAUUAGAUACCCCAGUAGUC